Zophobas morio is the source of this 1520-nucleotide long non-coding RNA. RefSeq lists it as uncharacterized. NCBI's taxonomy places the organism in Eukaryota, Metazoa, Arthropoda, Insecta, Coleoptera, Tenebrionidae. The transcript has 2 exons. The record is from RefSeq and is a predicted model, not a curated record.
GCAUAUCAUUCAGUAAGGACAGCUUUUGAAAGGCCCAUAAGAAAUACACGUAACGGACUAGAACAACAAUAAUCGACCGUUGGGUAAGGACAUGACCUUGAAUUUUGGCUAGAAACUGUAGUGGCAAACCUUGUUACUAAAUAAAUUUACCACCAUGUCAACAUUGUGCGUCAAAUUUGACAUUUUAGAUGUUUGGUAUUUAAUAUUGUAACGGUGAUUUAUUAUUUUUACUGAAUAGAAAAUGCGCGUUCGAACAAAUAAAUAAAAUAAAUAAUAUUGUGGAAACUGUACACAGGGCACAGGGGUGCGGUAUGCUGGUAUGGACACAGUUACGAGGGCAGCUUUUAUAUAUCGGCCACAUGAAGGGCUGCAACAUAAAAGGUGAAUGCUUCAUGUAGCAUCUUAAGCGCGCCACUCACGUUUCAACGCCGCAGAACAAUUGUGUUUGAUAUGACCAAAUUGAAGUGUUUUUGAACGUCUGUGUAUGCAAAUCGGUUGGAUGUGGACGGUCGGUGAACAAGUCUGUCUGCAGCAGUACAAUCGUGUUGUAUUGCAUGGAAAUUUGAUGAUGUGUGGACAUGGCUCGACAGUGUAUGUUAUUCAAAUCGUGAGAGCAGCUAUAAAAGUACAUUUUCGUCAUAUUGUCGGACAUGUUGUCAUCACGAUCGCAAAUUUUUAACUGCAAGGUCGUAACGUGUGUGUGUACUGCUGCUUUUUAACAGAAUUGUACAACAGUUGCAUCCAAUGGGACGUUGGAGUGUGAAUGGCCAGCUUUAGGAUUGCCAAAAUGGUGGAUCAUCAUCAAAGACAUUGAAGUGACAGAGAAGUUUAUCAUAUAUGAUGACAUUACGUGCAACGGCAAAAUAACUACAUGUUUCACAGGUAUAUUUCAUCAAGCAUUUCUUCAGUAAGUAUCCACAGACAUAACUUAAAGAAUUUUGUUCCUCCAUGUCCAGAUGUCUGUAGUCUGUCAUAUUUACUUCCACAGAUUUAUGUGCAAAAGUUGUUCAACUUAAAACUCUAUUAAUAAUUUGACACUGGUUACUUUCUUUAGAUUCAGUUGCUAGUAAAAUAGAUCCUAAAUCAUUACAACUAUUGGAAUUUUCACUGUGCUGUAAAAAUUGCAUACCAAAUAAUUUUUGUAUUGAUUAUAGAAUAAUAUACUUCUUUAUAUUUCUUAUCUUACAGAUUCCGAGGGAAAUUUAAAGAAGCCUCUGAAGCAGGUUUUUUUAUUGUGCCUGGAAUCACGAGGUGGUCUACCACUAUAGUCCAUGUUACUAUGAAAAAGUUCUCAGAAUUACUUCACUAAUUUAACUAACAACAAAAAUUCAACCAAAAACAUCAAAGUACUUUUCCCAGGGAAGAUGAAAACAACAGCGUUCACUUUCUGACUCUUCAAACGGUUCACACUUGGCGAAAAUUGAAGGCAUUGACAAAAUAGGUAGUUGAUAUGUUUAUGUUGAAAUUAACUUGGUAAAGUGAUAGACUUUUAUUAAUGAAUAAAAUAAAUAUAAGCACAA